This 446-nucleotide ribosomal RNA is filed under the name uncultured bacterium. RNAcentral describes it as "partial 16S ribosomal RNA". It matches the Rfam family "Bacterial small subunit ribosomal RNA", at positions 338 to 795 of the family's 1533-position model. The record is from RNAcentral.
CCUACGGGGGGCAGCAGUCGAGAAUUAUUCACAAUGGGGGAAACCCUGAUGGUGCGACGCCGCGUGGGGGAAUGAAGGUCUUCGGAUUGUAAACCCCUGUCAUGUGGGAGCAAAUUAAAAAGAUAGUACCACAAGAGGAAGAGACGGCUAACUCUGUGCCAGCAGCCGCGGUAAUACAGAGGUCUCAAGCGUUGUUCGGAAUCACUGGGCGUAAAGUGUGCGUAGGCUGUUUCGUAAGUCGUGUGUGAAAGGCGCGGGCUCAACCCGCGGACGGCACAUGAUACUGCGAGACUAGAGUAAUGGAGGGGGAACCGGAAUUCUCGGUGUAGCAGUGAAAUGCGUAGAUAUCGAGAGGAACACUCGUGGCGAAGGAGGGUUCCUGGACAUUAACUGACGCUGAGGCACGAAGGCCAGGGGAGCGAAAGGGAUUAGAUACCCGAGUAGUC